AAGCUUAACCGGCCAGGGAUUCAUUGCACUGCCCCAUUCAGCCCCACUAACCUAUCUAGGCACCCCUAAAUUCCAGGGAAUGAAUUUAAAAACUAUCCAAUUAGGACACCCCGGGCCUAGCAAGGACCUAGGUGAGACGAGGCCUAGGCGCCCUUAAUAGGUGGUUAGUGCAAGCAAGGCCGUGAUGGCCAAUUGGUAGGCUGGAAUGCUGAGAUUGGCAGUCGGAAGGUCGGGGGAUUUAACUAGAAUUGGGUAGCUCUGGUGUUAUUCUUAGUGAGGAUCCCACUUAGGUAGGCUAGUUAAGGAACCCGGGUGGGCGGCGGUGCUCUAGGGGGAAUGAUAACCCCUAGAGUGGCCCGAGAGGACAGAGGCGGCGGCCGGUUAUAUAGGGUGUUAAAAUAUGUAUAUAGCUCAAGGUGUAAACUGCAGGG
Molecule: small RNA, 431 nt
Filed under: Histoplasma capsulatum var. duboisii H88
Lineage: Eukaryota; Fungi; Ascomycota; Eurotiomycetes; Onygenales; Ajellomycetaceae
Description: Histoplasma capsulatum H88 hypothetical RNA
Source: RNAcentral